RNAcentral lists this ribosomal RNA (450 nucleotides) under uncultured bacterium. RNAcentral describes it as "partial 16S ribosomal RNA". It matches the Rfam family "Bacterial small subunit ribosomal RNA", at positions 354 to 796 of the family's 1533-position model. The record is from RNAcentral.
GUGGGGAAUUUUGGACAAUGGGCGCAAGCCUGAUCCAGCAAUGCCGCGUGCAGGAAGAAGGCCUUCGGGUUGUAAACUGCUUUUGUACGGAACGAAACGGUCCUGGUUAAUACCCGGGGCUAAUGACGGUACCGUAAGAAUAAGCACCGGCUAACUACGUGCCAGCAGCCGCGGUAAUACGUAGGGUGCAAGCGUUAAUCGGAAUUACUGGGCGUAAAGCGUGCGCAGGCGGUUUUGUAAGACAGGCGUGAAAUCCCCGGGCUCAACCUGGGAAUUGCGCUUGUGACUGCAAGGCUGGAGUGCGGCAGAGGGGGAUGGAAUUCCGCGUGUAGCAGUGAAAUGCGUAGAUAUGCGGAGGAACACCGAUGGCGAAGGCAAUCCCCUGGGCCUGCACUGACGCUCAUGCACGAAAGCGUGGGGAGCAAACAGGAUUAGAUACCCCUGUAGUCC